RNAcentral lists this ribosomal RNA (449 nucleotides) under uncultured organism. RNAcentral's name for it is "partial 16S ribosomal RNA". It matches the Rfam family "Bacterial small subunit ribosomal RNA", at positions 332 to 797 of the family's 1533-position model. The record is from RNAcentral.
UACACUCCUGCGGGAGGCAGCAGUGGGGAAUAUUGGACAAUGGGCGCAAGCCUGAUCCAGCCAUGCCGCGUGAGUGAUGAAGGCCCUAGGGUUGUAAAGCUCUUUCACCGGUGAAGAUAAUGACGGUAACCGGAGAAGAAGCCCCGGCUAACUUCGUGCCAGCAGCCGCGGUAAUACGAAGGGGGCUAGCGUUGUUCGGAUUUACUGGGCGUAAAGCGCACGUAGGCGGACUAUUAAGUCAGGGGUGAAAUCCCGGGGCUCAACCCCGGAACUGCCUUUGAUACUGGUAGUCUUGAGUUCGAGAGAGGUGAGUGGAAUUCCGAGUGUAGAGGCGAAAUUCGUAGAUAUUCGGAGGAACACCAGUGGCGAAGGCGGCUCACUGGCUCGAUACUGACGCUGAGGUGCGAAAGCGUGGGGAGCAAACAGGAUUAGAUACCCCAGUAGUCCCA